GACGAACGCUGGCGGCGUGCUUAACACAUGCAAGUCGAACGAUGAAACCUAGCUUGCUAGGUCGAUUAGUGGCGAACGGGUGAGUAACACGUGACUAACCUGCCCCUUUCUCUGGGAUAACGCUCCGAAAGGAGUGCUAAUACCGGAUACUCACACCGAGGCACAUGCCUUGGUGUGGAAAGUUUUUCGGAAAGGGAUGGAGUCGCGGCCUAUCAGCUUGUUGGUGAGGUAACGGCUCACCAAGGCGACGACGGGUAGCCGGCCUGAGAGGGCGACCGGCCACACUGGGACUGAGACACGGCCCAGACUCCUACGGGAGGCAGCAGUGGGGAAUAUUGCACAAUGGGCGCAAGCCUGAUGCAGCGACGCCGCGUGAGGGAUGAAGGUCUUCGGAUUGUAAACCUCUUUCAGUAGGGACGAAGCGAAAGUGACGGUACCUAAAGAAGAAGCACCGGCUAACUACGUGCCAGCCGCCGCGGUAA
RNAcentral lists this ribosomal RNA (482 nucleotides) under uncultured bacterium. RNAcentral's name for it is "partial 16S ribosomal RNA". It matches the Rfam family "Bacterial small subunit ribosomal RNA", at positions 28 to 523 of the family's 1533-position model. The record is from RNAcentral.